UACGAAGGGGGCUAGCGUUGCUCGGAAUUACUGGGCGUAAAGCGCACGUAGGCGGUCUUUUAAGUCGGGGGUGAAAUCCUGGAGCUCAACUCCAGAAACGCCUUCGAUACUGGAAGACUUGAGUCCGGGAGAGGUGAGUGGAACUGCGAGUGUAGAGGUGAAAUUCGUAGAUAUUCGCAAGAACACCAGUGGCGAAGGCGGCUCACUGGCCCGGUACUGACGCUGAGGUGCGAAAGCGUGGGGAGCAAACAGG
This 253-nucleotide ribosomal RNA is filed under the name uncultured bacterium. RNAcentral's name for it is "partial 16S ribosomal RNA". It matches the Rfam family "Bacterial small subunit ribosomal RNA", at positions 524 to 776 of the family's 1533-position model. The record is from RNAcentral.